Molecule: ribosomal RNA, 198 nt
Filed under: Geodermatophilus siccatus
Lineage: Bacteria; Bacillati; Actinomycetota; Actinomycetes; Geodermatophilales; Geodermatophilaceae
Description: 16S rRNA. Bacterial SSU
Rfam family: Bacterial small subunit ribosomal RNA
Source: RNAcentral
CAUCUACGGAGAGUUUGAUCCUGGCUCAGGACGAACGCUGGCGGCGUGCUUAACACAUGCAAGUCGAACGGUGAACCGUCUUCGGACGGGGAUCAGUGGCGAACGGGUGAGUAACACGUGGGCAACCUGCCCCCGGCUCUGGGAUAACUCCAAGAAAUUGGGGCUAAUACCGGAUGUGACCGCUGACCGCAUGGUCUG